AGUAUAUACAUAUCAUAUUGUCACAUCCAAAAUAUAAAACACAUUUUUCUUUUAAGUAUAUUUUCACUUACCUAAAGUCUUUAAUAGUUUUUUAAUUAAUGUAGCAGUGUAAAAAAUAUAGAAAAAAAUAUAUAAACGCUUGUAAUGACAAGCUUUACAACUUUUAUGAAGACUUCGAAAUUCACCACUAUAAUCAUAUAAAUCAUAGAUCAAAAUUUAACUGUUGAUUAUUGUCUACAUUUACGCUUCAUUGUUCUCAUCAAAUUUUG
RNAcentral lists this long non-coding RNA (269 nucleotides) under Malus domestica (apple). Its description in RNAcentral is "long non-coding RNA (MDOM_LNC013163)". The record is from RNAcentral. Lineage: Eukaryota; Viridiplantae; Streptophyta; Magnoliopsida; Rosales; Rosaceae.